AUGCUAAAAGACUCCCUAAAUCACACACAACACAAGCCCUAUCAUAAAAGCUUUUUGAAAAAACUACAAAAUCAAUUUUUAAAUUUAUUUAGAAAUACAAGAGUUCGAUCGGUAGCGGGAGCGGAGAGCGGACCCCAGAGAGCCCUGAGAGCCCCACCGCCGCCGCCGGCCCCAGUCACCAUCACCGCAACCUUGAGCAGCGAGGCCGAGACCCAGCAGCCGCCCGCCGCCCUCAGUGCCGCCGCCACCAAGUCCGGCUCCACGGGCAGCGGCGCGGGUAGUGGCAGCCCGGGCAGCCUCACAUCGGCCGCGCCCGCUGGCGGGGACAAGAAGGUCAUCGCAACGAAGGUUUUGGGAACAGUUCAAUGUAAGGAACGGAUACGGUUUCAUCAACAGGAACGACACCAAGGAAGAUGUAUUUGUACACCAGACUGCCAUAAAGAAGAAUAACCCCAGGAAGUACCUUCGCAGUGUAGGAGAUGGAGAGACUGUGGAGUUUGAUGUUGUUUAAGGAGAAAAGGGUGCGGAGGCAGCAAAUGUUACAGGCCCUGGUGGAGUUCCAGUUCAAGGCAGUAAAUACGCAGCAGACCGAAACCAUUAUAGACGCUAUCCACGUCGUAGGGGUCCUCCACGCAAGUACCAGCAAAACUACCAGAAUAGUGAGAGUGGGGAAAAGAACGAGGGUUCGGAAAGCGCUCCUGAAGGCCAGGCCCAACAACGCCGGCCCUAUUGCAGGCGAAGGUUCCUACCUUACUACAUGCGGAGACCCUAUGCGCAUCGACCACAGUAUUCCAACCCCCCUGUACAAGGAGAAGUGAUGGAGGGUGCUGACAACCAAGGUGCAGGAGAGCAAGGUAGACCAGUG
This is an RNA transcript of Mastomys coucha (southern multimammate mouse), 865 nucleotides long. It is a transcript of the gene named nuclease-sensitive element-binding protein 1 pseudogene, with no coding region annotated. The transcript has a single exon. NCBI's taxonomy places the organism in Eukaryota, Metazoa, Chordata, Mammalia, Rodentia, Muridae. The record is from RefSeq and is a predicted model, not a curated record.